RNAcentral lists this ribosomal RNA (491 nucleotides) under uncultured bacterium. Its description in RNAcentral is "partial 16S ribosomal RNA". It matches the Rfam family "Bacterial small subunit ribosomal RNA", at positions 29 to 507 of the family's 1533-position model. The record is from RNAcentral.
GUGAACGCUGGCGGUAGGCCUAACACAUGCAAGUCGAACGGCAGCACAGUAAGAGCUUGCUCUUACGGGUGGCGAGUGGCGGACGGGUGAGGAAUACAUCGGAAUCUACUUUUUCGUGGGGGAUAACGUAGGGAAACUUACGCUAAUACCGCAUACGGCCUACGGGUGAAAGCAGGGGAUCUUCGGACCUUGCGCGAUUGAAUGAGCCGAUGUCGGAUUAGCUAGUUGGCGGGGUAAAGGCCCACCAAGGCGACGAUCCGUAGCUGGUCUGAGAGGAUGAUCAGCCACACUGGAACUGAGACACGGUCCAGACUCCUACGGGAGGCAGCAGUGGGGAAUAUUGGACAAAGGGCGCAAGCCUGAUCCAGCCAUACCGCGUGGGUGAAGAAGGCCUUCGGGUUGUAAAGCCCUUUUGUUGGGAAAGAAAAGCAGCAGGUUAAUACCCCGCUGUUCUGACGGUACCCAAAGAAUAAGCACCGGCUAACUUCGUG